This 734-nucleotide long non-coding RNA is filed under the name Rattus norvegicus (Norway rat). RNAcentral's name for it is "long non-coding RNA NONRATT019596". Lineage: Eukaryota; Metazoa; Chordata; Mammalia; Rodentia; Muridae. The record is from RNAcentral.
AGCAGAGGUGGUAGCGGUUAGAGCCUGGUGCCCAGAGGCUGUGGUAAUUACAACAGCUCACUUCCCCUGGGAUGUGAGGUGUGCCUUUCCCAGGCAGAGCAUGCAGGGACAUGCCUGGAGUCCCCAUGGAUCUCAAGGUGCAUCAGGCUUGGUCAUAAACAGCAACUGGGAACCUGGGAUGGAUGCUCAGAGGGAACGGCUAGGUUUGAGAAGUAAGGUCAGGCUGGGAAGGAAGCAUCCAGGAGCCUCUCUGACUCUCCUCUGAAAUCACUGGGCUUUAGCUUCUUACUGGGGUAUGCAGGCCACUAGCUAUAAAGAGGGGUUACUGGAAGCAAGGUAGAGCCCGGAACAGGACCUGCUGCUUGCUUGUGUUUCUACAGGUGUGAUGUCAAAGAAGACCAGAAACUGCAGAGCCAGGAGGGAAGCCAGAGCACCAUGAAGACUCCCAGUGCAGAGGAAGAGUGCAUACAGAAGCGGACUGAAAGAGAGCCAGACAGACAAGAGACCAAGUCUGCAACCAGCCCAAUUCUAGCCUCCCCAGAGGGGCUAAGAGAAGAGUUGGGAACCUCUACAGCCAGUUUGGCCCCAGACUCUCCACAACAUUCUGACUUGGCUCCCCUUGACCUCUCUGUGGGAGGAGCUAGCAGCCCCAGGCCUGGAGAAAGUACACAUAUACCCAGUCCAAAGGCUGGGGCUCAGGAAAGUCCAGAGUCAUGGCCAAAUGGUUCUGAGCA